This 1419-nucleotide ribosomal RNA is filed under the name Salmonella enterica subsp. enterica serovar Enteritidis. RNAcentral describes it as "partial 23S ribosomal RNA". It matches the Rfam family "Bacterial large subunit ribosomal RNA", at positions 1399 to 2803 of the family's 2925-position model. The record is from RNAcentral. Lineage: Bacteria; Pseudomonadati; Pseudomonadota; Gammaproteobacteria; Enterobacterales; Enterobacteriaceae.
AGGCCGAAAGGCGUAGUCGAUGGGAAACGGGUUAAUAUUCCCGUACUUGGUGUUACUGCGAAGGGGGGACGGAGAAGGCUAUGUUGGCCGGGCGACGGUUGUCCCGGUUUAAGCGUGUAGGCUGGUUUUCCAGGCAAAUCCGGAAAAUCAAGGCUGAGGCGUGAUGACGAGGCACUACGGUGCUGAAGCAACAAAUGCCCUGCUUCCAGGAAAAGCCUCUAAGCAUCAGGUAACAUCAAAUCGUACCCCAAACCGACACAGGUGGUCAGGUAGAGAAUACCAAGGCGCUUGAGAGAACUCGGGUGAAGGAACUAGGCAAAAUGGUGCCGUAACUUCGGGAGAAGGCACGCUGACACGUAGGUGAAGUGAUUUACUCAUGGAGCUGAAGUCAGUCGAAGAUACCAGCUGGCUGCAACUGUUUAUUAAAAACACAGCACUGUGCAAACACGAAAGUGGACGUAUACGGUGUGACGCCUGCCCGGUGCCGGAAGGUUAAUUGAUGGGGUCAGCGCAAGCGAAGCUCCUGAUCGAAGCCCCGGUAAACGGCGGCCGUAACUAUAACGGUCCUAAGGUAGCGAAAUUCCUUGUCGGGUAAGUUCCGACCUGCACGAAUGGCGUAAUGAUGGCCAGGCUGUCUCCACCCGAGACUCAGUGAAAUUGAACUCGCUGUGAAGAUGCAGUGUACCCGCGGCAAGACGGAAAGACCCCGUGAACCUUUACUAUAGCUUGACACUGAACAUUGAGCCUUGAUGUGUAGGAUAGGUGGGAGGCUUUGAAGUGUGGACGCCAGUCUGCAUGGAGCCGACCUUGAAAUACCACCCUUUAAUGUUUGAUGUUCUAACGUGGACCCGUUACCCGGGUUGCGGACAGUGUCUGGUGGGUAGUUUGACUGGGGCGGUCUCCUCCUAAAGAGUAACGGAGGAGCACGAAGGUUGGCUAAUCCUGGUCGGACAUCAGGAGGUUAGUGCAAUGGCAUAAGCCAGCUUGACUGCGAGCGUGACGGCGCGAGCAGGUGCGAAAGCAGGUCAUAGUGAUCCGGUGGUUCUGAAUGGAAGGGCCAUCGCUCAACGGAUAAAAGGUACUCCGGGGAUAACAGGCUGAUACCGCCCAAGAGUUCAUAUCGACGGCGGUGUUUGGCACCUCGAUGUCGGCUCAUCACAUCCUGGGGCUGAAGUAGGUCCCAAGGGUAUGGCUGUUCGCCAUUUAAAGUGGUACGCGAGCUGGGUUUAGAACGUCGUGAGACAGUUCGGUCCCUAUCUGCCGUGGGCGCUGGAGAACUGAGGGGGGCUGCUCCUAGUACGAGAGGACCGGAGUGGACGCAUCACUGGUGUUCGGGUUGUCAUGCCAAUGGCACUGCCCGGUAGCUAAAUGCGGAAGAGAUAAGUGCUGAAAGCAUCUAAGCACGAAACUUGCCCCGAG